Molecule: ribosomal RNA, 532 nt
Filed under: uncultured bacterium
Lineage: Bacteria
Description: bacterial SSU rRNA
Rfam family: Bacterial small subunit ribosomal RNA
Source: RNAcentral
UGGGGAAUCUUGGACAAUGGGGGCAACCCUGAUCCAGCCAUGCCGCGUGAGUGAUGAAGGCCUUAGGGUCGUAAAGCUCUUUCGCCUGUGAAGAUAAUGACGGUAGCAGGUAAAGAAACCCCGGCUAACUCCGUGCCAGCAGCCGCGGUAAUACGGAGGGGGUUAGCGUUGUUCGGAAUUACUGGGCGUAAAGCGCACGUAGGCGGACCAGAAAGUUGGGGGGUGAAAUCCCGGGGGCUCAACCCCGGAACUGCCUCCAAAACUAUUGGUCUAGAGUUCGAGAGAGGUGAGUGGAAUUCCAAGUGUAGAGGUGAAAUUCGUAGAUAUUUGGAGGAACACCAGUGGCGAAGGCGGCUCACUGGCUCGAUACUGACGCUGAGGUGCGAAAGUGUGGGGAGCAAACAGGAUUAGAUACCCUGGUAGUCCACACCGUAAAACGAUGAAUGCCAGUCGUCGGGUAGCAUGCUAUUCGGUGACACACCUAACGGAUUAAGCAUUCCGCCUGGGGAGUACGGUCGCAAGAUUAAAACUC